RNAcentral lists this ribosomal RNA (72 nucleotides) under Campylobacter lari. Its description in RNAcentral is "partial 23S ribosomal RNA". The record is from RNAcentral. Lineage: Bacteria; Pseudomonadati; Campylobacterota; Epsilonproteobacteria; Campylobacterales; Campylobacteraceae.
AGCUACUAAGAGCGAAUGGUGGAUGCCUUGACUGGUAAAGGCGAUGAAGGACGUACUAGACUGCCGAUAAAG